This 438-nucleotide ribosomal RNA is filed under the name uncultured bacterium. Its description in RNAcentral is "partial 16S ribosomal RNA". It matches the Rfam family "Bacterial small subunit ribosomal RNA", at positions 339 to 795 of the family's 1533-position model. The record is from RNAcentral.
CUACGGGACGCACCAGUGGGGAAUAUUGCACAAUGGGGGAAACCCUGAUGCAGCAACGCCGCGUGGAGGAUGACGCAUUUCGGUGUGUAAACUCCUUUAUAUAGGAAGAUAAUGACGGUACUAUAUGAAUAAGCACCGGCUAACUCCGUGCCAGCAGCCGCGGUAAUACGGAGGGUGCAAGCGUUACUCGGAAUCACUGGGCGUAAAGCGCGCGCAGGCGGCCUUUUAAGUUGGAUGUGAAAGCCUAUGGCUUAACCAUAGAACUGCAUCCAAAACUAUCAGGCUAGAGUCUGGGAGGGGAAGAUGGAAUUAGUUGUGUAGGGGUAAAAUCCGUAGAGAUAACUAGGAAUACCAAAAGCGAAGGCGAUCUUCUGGAACAGUACUGACGCUGAGGCGCGAAAGCGUGGGGAGCAAACAGGAUUAGAUACCCUUGUAGUC